GGUUUGUGUAGAAAAAGAAAAAGAAAAUAAAAAGAAAAGGGGUGUUUUUUGGGGGGUGGGGGGUAUAAAAAGGAAGUCUUGCCCAGUUGUUUAAUAAAGAAUAAAGAUACAUUAAUGUGAAAAGCACAAAUUUUAUUAACAGAGAUGAUGGAAUUAAAGGGAGGUAAAAAAUUUUCUAAUGUUUAAUAGCAGGUAAAAACAAACUUUAAAA
Long non-coding RNA from Octopus sinensis (East Asian common octopus), 211 nucleotides. RefSeq lists it as uncharacterized. The transcript is spliced from 3 exons. The record is from RefSeq and is a predicted model, not a curated record. Lineage: Eukaryota; Metazoa; Mollusca; Cephalopoda; Octopoda; Octopodidae.